AGGGGUCUAGUUAAAAACAAUAACUUUGGGUUGUCAGGCCAAGAUUGCUGGUUAGAAUCCAGCGGCUUCUG
RNAcentral lists this transfer RNA (71 nucleotides) under Nacospatangus altus. RNAcentral's name for it is "Nacospatangus alta tRNA-Asp". It matches the Rfam family "tRNA". Rfam says of the family: Transfer RNA (tRNA) molecules are approximately 80 nucleotides in length. The record is from RNAcentral. Lineage: Eukaryota; Metazoa; Echinodermata; Echinoidea; Spatangoida; Maretiidae.